AACGAACGCUGGCGGCGUGGAUUAGGCAUGCAAGUCGAACGCGAAAGAGGGGGCAACUCCUCGAGUAGAGUGGCGAACGGGUGAGUAACGCGUGAAGAACCUGCCUUCGAGAGGGGGAUAACACUCCUAACGGGGUGCUAAUACCGAAUGACACGGUCGGGUCGCAUGGCCUGGCCGUUAAAGCUGGCCUCUGCUUGCAAGCUGGCGCUUGAGGAUGAUCCCGCGUCCCAUUAGCUAGUUGGUAGGGUAACGGCUUACCAAGGCUACGAUGGGUAGCUGGUCUGAGAGGAUGGUCAGCCACACUGGGACUGAGAUACGGCCCAGACUCCUACGGGAGGCAG
RNAcentral lists this ribosomal RNA (341 nucleotides) under uncultured Latescibacterota bacterium. RNAcentral's name for it is "bacterial SSU rRNA". It matches the Rfam family "Bacterial small subunit ribosomal RNA", at positions 29 to 351 of the family's 1533-position model. The record is from RNAcentral. Lineage: Bacteria; Pseudomonadati; Candidatus Latescibacterota.